UGGAGUGGAGAAUCAUAGAACUACAAA
Molecule: non-coding RNA, 27 nt
Filed under: Cricetulus griseus (Chinese hamster)
Lineage: Eukaryota; Metazoa; Chordata; Mammalia; Rodentia; Cricetidae
Source: RNAcentral